This 30-nucleotide non-coding RNA is filed under the name Rattus norvegicus (Norway rat). Lineage: Eukaryota; Metazoa; Chordata; Mammalia; Rodentia; Muridae. The record is from RNAcentral.
UGCUACUCACACCUGUAUUGUGCCUUAUCC